Molecule: ribosomal RNA, 497 nt
Filed under: uncultured bacterium
Lineage: Bacteria
Description: partial 16S ribosomal RNA
Rfam family: Bacterial small subunit ribosomal RNA
Source: RNAcentral
GAUGAACGCUGGCGGCGUGCCUAAUACAUGCAAGUCGAGCGAACAGACGAGGAGCUUGCUCCUUUGACGUUAGCGGCGGACGGGUGAGUAACACGUGGGUAACCUACCUAUAAGACUGGGAUAACUUCGGGAAACCGGAGCUAAUACCGUAUAAUAUUUCGAACCGCAUGGUUCGAUAGUGAAAGAUGGCUCUGCUAUCACUUAUAGAUGGACCUGCGCCGUAUUAGCUAGUUGGUAAGGUAACGUCUUACCAAGGCAACGAUACGUAGCCGACCUGAGAGGGUGAUCGGCCACACUGGAACUGAGACACGGUCCAGACUCCUACGGGAGGCAGCAGUAGGGAAUCUUCCGCAAUGGGCGGAAGCCUGACGGAGCAACGCCGCGUGAGUGAUGAAGGUCUUCGGAUCGUAAAACUCUGUUAUUAGGGAAGAACAAACGUGUAAGUAACUGUGCACGUCUUGGCGGUACCUAAUCAGAAAGCCACGGCUAGCUACGUG